This 763-nucleotide long non-coding RNA is filed under the name Panax ginseng (ginseng). RNAcentral describes it as "long non-coding RNA (PGIN_LNC018044)". Lineage: Eukaryota; Viridiplantae; Streptophyta; Magnoliopsida; Apiales; Araliaceae. The record is from RNAcentral.
UCAUGCACUAUAAUGUCAGCUCAAAAUUGCAGAACUUCAAUACGAGCAUCCGAAUGAGGUAUAUUUGAUCUUAUUCUGACUACUUAUGUCGAGAGUUACGCAAUGACAUGGAUUAGAGGUUGUACGAAGUCAGGAAGAGGGGUCUAUGCCCAUGGUCUUCAUGCUUUAAAUUCUAUCCAAAGUACUGCCACGCAUAAUAGUCACUCGGGAUUGUUAUUCCUCGGUUCUUGUGGGACAUUGUUGUAUGUAUGUAUGUAUGAAGUGUUGAGACGACGCGCAGGUGUUGAAGAGGCAAGAUGAUGUUUGACUCUUCGCCGGGGUUAUUGCCAGUUUGAGUUAAAAGUAGACGUUGCUCAGGGUUACAUCUGAGAUUGGACUACUUGUUGGUAUGCCGUGAUAUCAUCUUGUGAGAGAAAAUGUUGAGGCAGUAAUACGAUGUUUUGACUCCUCACCGGGGUUAUCGCUAGUUUGAGCGGAAAGCAGACGUUGCUCAGGGUUACAUCCGAUAUGGGACUGCUUAUUUGUAUGCCUCACUGUCAUCUGUGGGUGUGUCUGUCUGCCCGUUCUUAGCUCCAGGUCUGAGGUAUGAGUGCCUCGACAGGAGGUAUGAGCUUGAAGCUGAUCGCAUAUGUUUGAAACAAACAAUUCCGGAGUUAUCGCCGGAACUGCAAAAGCAUCCCUUGGGGUUAUCACCAAGGAUGGAGUCGCUACUACCAGUGUUGGUUCUGGGACUGGAACUAAAUUUCAUGAUGUUAUCACUGAG